RNAcentral lists this unclassified non-coding RNA (240 nucleotides) under Paraglomus occultum. Its description in RNAcentral is "partial contains 5.8S ribosomal RNA and internal transcribed spacer 2". The stretch from base 1 to 65 matches the Rfam family "5.8S ribosomal RNA", at positions 84 to 154 of the family's 154-position model. Lineage: Eukaryota; Fungi; Glomeromycota; Glomeromycetes; Paraglomerales; Paraglomeraceae. The record is from RNAcentral.
GUGAAUCAUCAAAUCUUUGAACGCAAAUUGCGCCUUUUUCUGUAGGCAUGUCUGUUUGAGGGCACCAUUUAACAAAUAAUGUGCAGCGUUUAUUGUUGCACACGUUGAUGGGCGUUCCAACAAUUUUAAAUUUUUGGUGGCGCAUAAUGAACAGCGUGAAAGUUUUUUUCAGUUCAAGUGUAGAAUAAUCUUUUCUUUGGUUCUGAAAAAACAUAAUCGCGCAUUGGGUUUGCCAAUUUC